This is a non-coding RNA of Paramuricea clavata, 452 nucleotides long. The record is from the annotation of a GenBank genome assembly. Lineage: Eukaryota; Metazoa; Cnidaria; Anthozoa; Malacalcyonacea; Plexauridae.
UCCUAUUUUCGUGCUCGAUAAUAAAUCUCUCCUGCAUUUUUCUUUCCCUCUCAGAUCUUUUUUCUCUUUCAAACAUCCCUGUAUAUCUCUCUCGCUCUUUCUUGUUUAAUUAUUUUUCGUCUUUUACGACGAAUUCCUCGAUCGUGUUCGGCCUGGAAAGCCGACCUAGCUUCGAAAGUAUAUGCUCGCACUGUCUCGCUGGUUGCACUGAGAUUUCUCCCAGAUCGUGACGUAUCCCACCAUUAGCAAGUGCGCCACUCGCUGUGUGGAAUGUCGUGUUAAAAUGCGCCAUUUCAACCGACUUUACGUAAGCUCAUACGACCAGACGAAACAGAGAAAAAGCAUAUUAUAUCUUGAGAUUUGCCGUCCUUGCUUCCUGAUCGAUGAUCAAGUGCAAAUUCCCGCGCGCGCGCGCUUUGUUUACAUAUUGCUGCACAAAUAUUACCUUCCCC